UUUAAGGAAGGAGCAAAACAAGAUGCCAGGCAGAGUUUUCAGCUUCAGAAAUUCAGACAUUGUUUUGACUCAUCAGGAUGGCCUGGCUUCUGCUUUUCUUUACAUUUCUCGGUUCCUUUGCAGGUGUCGAUUCACAGCCAACACUGACUCAGCCUGCCUCCCAGUCGGUGUCUCCUGGACAAACAACGACCCUUAACUGUUUGAAAGGCAGUGGCAGCUGGAACAGCGAUGUUCACUGGAUUCAACAGAAACCUGGGCAGGCCCCUCGUUUUGUGCACUGCAACGGCUGCAGCAGAGGAGAAGGGAUCCCCUACCGGUUCACUGCCUCCUCUUUAGGGAACACCGGAUCUCUAACCAUCACCGAUGUUGAGGCCGGAGACAAGGCCGUUUAUUACUGCCAUGUCUGGUCUAGCACUGCUAGCGUGGUCCACGGUGGUACAGCCUGAUGGGGAACUGAGACA
This is a non-coding RNA of Pogona vitticeps (central bearded dragon), 461 nucleotides long. The record is from the annotation of a RefSeq genome assembly. Lineage: Eukaryota; Metazoa; Chordata; Lepidosauria; Squamata; Agamidae.